GCUUGCUUCCGCCGACGACCGGCGCACGGGUGCGUAACGCGUAUACAAUCUACCUUGUACUGGGGUAUAGCCUUUAGAAAUGAAGAUUAACCCCCCAUAGUCUCUUAGAGUGGCAUCACUUCUAGAGUAAAGGUUACGGUAUAAGAUGAGUAUGCGUUCUAUUAGUUUGUUGGUGUGGUAACGGCACACCAAGACUACGAUAGAUAGGGGCCCUGAGAGGGGGAUCCCCCACACUGGUACUGAGACACGGACCAGACUCCUACGGGAGGCAGCAGUGAGGAAUAUUGGACAAUGGAGGCAACUCUGAUCCAGCCAUGCCGCGUGCAGGAAGACUGCCCUAUGGGUUGUAAACUGCUUUUAUACAGGAAGAAACACCUCUACGUGUAGAGGCUUGACGGUACUGUAAGAAUAAGGAUCGGCUAACUCCGUGCCAGCAGCCGCGGUAAUACGGAGGAUCCAAGCGUUAUCCGGAAUCAUUGGGUUUAAAGGGUCCGUAGGUGGAUAAUUAAGUCAGAGGUGAAAUCUUGCAGCUCAACUGUAAAAUUGCCUUUGAAACUGGUUAUCUUGAGUUAUUAUGAA
This 579-nucleotide ribosomal RNA is filed under the name uncultured Bacteroidota bacterium. RNAcentral's name for it is "bacterial SSU rRNA". It matches the Rfam family "Bacterial small subunit ribosomal RNA", at positions 78 to 656 of the family's 1533-position model. The record is from RNAcentral. Lineage: Bacteria; Pseudomonadati; Bacteroidota.